Molecule: ribosomal RNA, 429 nt
Filed under: Bacteroidota bacterium
Lineage: Bacteria; Pseudomonadati; Bacteroidota
Description: Bacteroidetes bacterium partial 16S ribosomal RNA
Rfam family: Bacterial small subunit ribosomal RNA
Source: RNAcentral
UAGGGAAUCUUCGGCAAUGGGGGGAACCCUGACCGAGCAACGCCGCGUGUGUGAAGAAGGUUUUCGGAUCGUAAAGCUCUGUUGUUAAGGAAGAACGAGUGCGAGAAUGGAAAGUUCAUGCUGUGACGGUACUUCACCAGCAAGGGACGGCUAACUACGUGCCAGCAGCCGCGGUAAUACGUAGGUCCCGAGCGUUGUCCGGAUUUAUUGGGCGUAAAGCGAGCGCAGGCGGUUAGAAAAGUCUGAAGUGAAAGGCAGUGGCUCAACCAUUGAAGGCUGUGGAAACUGUUUAACUUGAGUGCAGAAGGGGGGAGUGGAAUUCCAGGUGUGGCGGUGAAAUGCGUGGAAAUAUGGAGGAACACCGGUGGCGAAAGCGGCUCUCUGGUCUGUAACUGACGCAGAGGCUGGAAAGCGUGGGGGGCGAACAGG